GUGCUCGCUUUGGCAGCACCUAUCCUAAAAUUGGAACAAUACAGAAAAGAUUAGCAUGGCCCCUGUGCAAGAAUGCCACACAUAAUUUGUGAAGCAUUCCAUCCGUUC
This is a non-coding RNA of Pelobates cultripes (western spadefoot toad), 108 nucleotides long. The record is from the annotation of a GenBank genome assembly. NCBI's taxonomy places the organism in Eukaryota, Metazoa, Chordata, Amphibia, Anura, Pelobatidae.